CGCAAAAAUAAAGUGAAAGUCCGCUUGUCUGCUCAGUCAGGAAAGAGACACCUCGUGAAACCUGCAUUACAACAACAGCUGUGGGAAUUACAUUGGAUUGAAGAAAUGUAUCUUUGACUGUAGUGGGAGAUUGUGGCUAAAACCAACAGCUACAAGGGACAGGCAAUGUUCCCAUCACCUGAGAAGUACAUGUCUCAUGACAAAGAAGGAUCUGUCUCUCCUGAACCCAGCCAUGUUUCUGUGAAAAGUGACAGCUCCAUGGACAAAAUUAUAAACUUCAGUGACAAACAAC
Non-coding RNA from Paralichthys olivaceus (Japanese flounder), 292 nucleotides. Lineage: Eukaryota; Metazoa; Chordata; Actinopteri; Pleuronectiformes; Paralichthyidae. The record is from RefSeq and is a predicted model, not a curated record.